RNAcentral lists this long non-coding RNA (1241 nucleotides) under Brassica napus (rape). RNAcentral's name for it is "long non-coding RNA (BNAP_LNC026205)". Lineage: Eukaryota; Viridiplantae; Streptophyta; Magnoliopsida; Brassicales; Brassicaceae. The record is from RNAcentral.
UUUUUGUAGGGGGUUAGCCCAUAGAUUUUGAGAAAAUUUCAAAAAAUAUGACAAUAUUGUUUUUAUUCCUAGUUGCAUGCUGCACUAACAUAUGAUGAUGUUCAAAAAGGUUUGGAGCCUUUGUCGUCUCUGUUUAUCAAGAAAAUAAUAAUUUUAUAGUAGUUAUUCCAUCGAUUUAGGGAGUAUUAUGAAGUUAUAUUAAAUAAAUUGAUAAAAACAAUUGAACGAUGCUCAUUUACCAUGAAAAAGAGUUUAGCAUAUAUUAAUACAAAUGUAGAAUAUGAUAGAAAUUUUAAAACAACACUAAAGAUUAUAGGCUUCAGCAUAUAAAGUAUUUACCAAAAACUCAAUAUUUUUGUAGGGGUUAGCCCAUAGAUUUUGAGAAAAUUUCAAAAAAUAUGACAAUAUUGUUUUAAUUCCUAGUUGCAUCCUGCACUAACAUAUGAUGAUGUUCAAAGAGGUUUGGAGCCUUUGUGCUCUCCGUAUAUCAAGAAAAUGAUAAUUUUAUAGUGGUUAUUCCAUCGUUUUAGGGAGUAUUAUGAAGUUUUACUAAAUUAUUUGAUAAAAAAAAUUGAACGAUGCUCAUUUACCCUGAAAAAGAGUUUAGCAUACAUUAAUACAAAUGUAGAAUAUGGUAGAAAUUUUAAAACAACACUAAAGAUAAUAGGCUUCAGUAUAUAAAGUAUUUACCAAAAACUCAAUAUUUUUGUAGGGGGUUUGCCCAUAGAUUUUGAGAAAAUUUCAAAAAAUAUGACAAUAUUGUUUUUAUUCCUAGUUGCAUCCUGCACUAACAUAUGAUGAUGUUCAAAAAGGUUUGGAGCCUUUGUCGUCUCUGUUUAUAAAGAAAAUAAUAAUUUUAUAGUGGUUAUUCCGUCGAUUUAGGGAGUAUUAUGAAGUUUUAUUAAAUUAUUUGAUAAAAACAAUUGAACGAUGCUCAUUUACCAUGAAAAAGAGUUUAGCAUACAUUAAUACAAAUGUAGAAUAUUGUAGAAAUUUUAAAACAACACUAAAGAUUAUAGGCUUCAGUAUAUAAAGUAUUUACCAAAAACUCAAAUUUUUUGUAGGGGUUAGCCCAUAGAUUUUGAGAAAAUUUCAAAAAAUAUGAAAAUAUUGUUUUAAUGCCUAGUUGCAUCCUGCACUAACAUAUGAUGAUGUUCAAAGAGGUUUGGAGCCUUUGUGCUCUCCGUAUAUCAAGAAAAUAAUAAUUUUAUAGUGGUUAUUCCAUCGUUUUAGGGAGUAUU